UAUGGUAAAAUCAUAUAUCUGAAUAUACUGUUGCAAGGUCAUCAUAAAAAAGGAAGUCUGCAUUAUAGGAGACAGGUCGGUAUGCAUGUGUGGCAAGUUCUAAAACAUAACUCCAGCUAGCAUGCAUGCUGAUUUAUCAAUACUGGCAUGUGCAUCUGCUAACCUCUGGGCACGGCGUCUCGGCGGGCGACGAGGGGGUAGCGAAGUCAGGCGUACACGACGCUGGAGGAGCCCAAGCGAAGUCUCCAGCGCAUCCGCCGCCGCUGCUUCAGCACGACCUCCUUGCCGAACCCCACCACACGCUCCAUGGUGACCUUGUUCCGCUCACAGAGAGGGGCGUAAAACACUGAAGGAACUGAUAGCUAUUGGUCAUAGCCUGGUUUCUCCUCCUUGGGGUUGUGGGCACGUGAAGUCUGUGGCCAAGAAUGAAACUAAAAAGAACAGGAGGCUUCCCAGGUGUCCAGGACAAGAUGGGAUGGGGAGCGAUGCGGGGAGCCAGGGAGGGAGCGAGUCACAACGAAAGAGCGAUGGGGAGCAGCGGGAGAGAGGGCGGGCGGACGACACCAGGUUCGACCGGAGAUUCGUAUGGUCCAAGAGCGCGGAGACGACGAUGGGAAUGAAGACUCGCCGUUUUUCAUGGAGGUCGUCGCCCUGUGGAAGCUAUCACCCAAGAGAGUUCUGGAGACAUCGUGUCGUGUGUACUGUGUGGAGUGGAGGCAAUGAAACGACUCGAAGUCGACGAUGUGUUCGCGUGUCCAUUGAUUGCAGAGCGAUGUUUCGAAAAGCAGCAGGGUCACGUGGUUGCAGCGCACAAUAGCAUCAGACCGAAAGAGGUGGUUGCCAUCGGCCA
Molecule: long non-coding RNA, 850 nt
Filed under: Zea mays
Lineage: Eukaryota; Viridiplantae; Streptophyta; Magnoliopsida; Poales; Poaceae
Description: long non-coding RNA (ZMAY_LNC002149)
Source: RNAcentral